This 496-nucleotide ribosomal RNA is filed under the name uncultured Glomeromycotina. Its description in RNAcentral is "partial small subunit ribosomal RNA". It matches the Rfam family "Eukaryotic small subunit ribosomal RNA", at positions 591 to 1092 of the family's 1831-position model. Lineage: Eukaryota; Fungi; Glomeromycota. The record is from RNAcentral.
CCAAUAGCGUAUAUUAAAGUUGUUGCAGUUAAAAAGCUCGUAGUUGAAUUUCGGGGUUCUACCGUUGGUCGGGCUAUUGUCUGUACUGGCGUGUAGAAUUUCUACCUUCUGGGGAACUAUCAUGUUAUUAAUUUAGCGUGGUAGGAAACCAGGACCUUUACCUUGAAAAAAUUAGAGUGUUCAAAGCAGGCUUACGUCUGAAUACAUUAGCAUGGAAUUAUAACAUAGGACGGUGGUCCUGUUUUGUUGGUUUCUGAAUCACCGUAAUGAUUAAUAGGGAUAGUUUGGGGCAUUAAUAUUAAAUUUUCAGAGGUGAAAUUCUUGGAUUUAUUGAAGACCAACUACUGCGAAAGCAUUUGCCAAGGAUGUUUUCAUUAAUCAAGAACGAAAGUUAGGGGAUCGAAGACGAUCAGAUACCGUCGUAGUCUUAACCAUAAACUAUGCCGACUAGGGAUCGGACGAUGUUAAUUUUUCUUGACUCGUUCGGCGCCUUACG